GCAAUUAACAAUGAUGAACUCUUUUCCUAUUUAUUUAUGGGAUUUCAUUCCAAUUAUGACUCAAUCAUGACUUUCCUCACGACUCAAGUUGAUGAUCUAACCUUUAAUAAUGUUUAUGCACAUCUCAUGGCUUUUGAGA
This is a small nucleolar RNA of Phragmites australis (common reed), 139 nucleotides long. RefSeq annotates it as small nucleolar RNA Z247. The transcript has a single exon. NCBI's taxonomy places the organism in Eukaryota, Viridiplantae, Streptophyta, Magnoliopsida, Poales, Poaceae. The record is from RefSeq and is a predicted model, not a curated record.